GCCUCCGUAGCUCAGCACGGUAGAGCGGCCGCCUUGUAAGCGGCAUGUCGCGGGUUCAAAUCCCGCCGGAGGCU
This 74-nucleotide transfer RNA is filed under the name Candidatus Bathyarchaeota archaeon. Its description in RNAcentral is "tRNA-Thr". It matches the Rfam family "tRNA". Rfam says of the family: Transfer RNA (tRNA) molecules are approximately 80 nucleotides in length. Their secondary structure includes four short double-helical elements and three loops (D, anti-codon, and T loops). RNAcentral also lists the same sequence under 1 other name. The record is from RNAcentral. Lineage: Archaea; Thermoproteati; Candidatus Bathyarchaeota.